ACUCCUACGGGAGGCAGCAGUGGGGAAUAUUGCACAAUGGGGGGAAACCCUGAUGCAGCCAUGCCGCGUGUGUGAAGAAGGCCUUCGGGUUGUAAAGCACUUUCAGUAGGGAGGAAGGUAGUGUAGUUAACACCUGCAUUAUUUGACGUUACCUACAGAAGAAGCACCGGCUAACUCCGUGCCAGCAGCCGCGGUAAUACGGAGGGUGCGAGCGUUAAUCGGAAUUACUGGGCGUAAAGCGCAUGCAGGCGGCCUGUUAAGUCAGAUGUGAAAGCCCGGGGCUUAACCUCGGAAUUGCAUUUGAAACUGGCAGGCUAGAGUCUUGUAGAGGGGGGUAGAAUUUCAGGUGUAGCGGUGAAAUGCGUAGAGAUCUGAAGGAAUACCAGUGGCGAAGGCGGCCCCCCUGGACAAAGACUGACGCUCAGAUGCGAAAGCGUGGGGAGCAAACAGGAUUAGAUACCCUGGUAGGAUAGCG
This 475-nucleotide ribosomal RNA is filed under the name uncultured bacterium. RNAcentral describes it as "bacterial SSU rRNA". It matches the Rfam family "Bacterial small subunit ribosomal RNA", at positions 335 to 799 of the family's 1533-position model. The record is from RNAcentral.